GUGCUACCUUCAGCAGCACAUUUACUAAAAUUGGAAAGAUACAGAGAAGAUUAGCUUGGCCCCAAAUUCGUGAAGAGUUCCCUAUUUUU
Small nuclear RNA from Callithrix jacchus (white-tufted-ear marmoset), 89 nucleotides. The record is from Ensembl. Lineage: Eukaryota; Metazoa; Chordata; Mammalia; Primates; Cebidae.